This 1714-nucleotide long non-coding RNA is filed under the name Salvia miltiorrhiza (redroot sage). Its description in RNAcentral is "long non-coding RNA (SMIL_LNC012260)". The record is from RNAcentral. Lineage: Eukaryota; Viridiplantae; Streptophyta; Magnoliopsida; Lamiales; Lamiaceae.
GGAAACAAUUCAGAGGCAAGAGGCUCAGGAAACUGAACGCCAGUGAAGCGAAUUACACAAAGGCAAAAAAAAAGAAGAAGAAAACUGACCUCUGCUCAUGCGGCUGCUAAGGGAAGGAUAAUUUGAUGGUUAGUGAAAAUUCUAAUGUAGUUUUUUAAUGAAGUGAUAAAUCUAGGCAAAUUGGUAGUUGUAUUAACUAUGGAGAUUGAGCAAAAUAUGAACUGAUUAGUACACCAACUAUUCGAUGAAAUGUAGGUUACCAAUGGUUGCCUUAAAGCUUACAAAAUACAAACUGAUCUUCCAUAGAGGAGAAGGUAAUGUAGAUUUUUGUGAACCUUAUAUAAUCAAUUGAUAGUUUAGCUUGCAAAUUUCGAAUGCUUGUAACUAUGUUAUGCUAUAUUUCCUUGAAUGAAAUUCUUGUUCUUGAACCUUGCAGUAGUUUUGAUUUUCCGAUUAUCACGAAGAUAUUUAAUGUUUGUGAACUUCUUGUUUCUUCUGUGAACUGUUGCAGGUAAUUGAUGAGGUAUAUGAUGAAUAAUCUGAGGUUGCUGACCGUCUACGGAUUAGGGUAAGAUAUUUCACUAGCUUUCCUCUAAUAUUCUAUAGAGGGUAUUUGUGGAUAGCAAUAAAUAUGAGUUUCUAUAAUUAAAUGGCCAGGGAAGUAUUUUCUUAUCAAUUUCUUUCGUUAUUUUAUAGAUUCAUUAUUCUUAACUAGUAAUUACAUUACAUAAGAUAUAAUAAUGCUUUGAUUUUAUUUUUUGCUACUCAUUUGGUGUUCCACAGUAUAUGGCAGAGCUAGGUUGUGAAUUCGAAGUUUUCAGAAACGAUGAGCUCACUGCUGAUGAGCUUAGAGAGUAAGCUUCUUCUUUUUUCUUCGUUGUUUGUUCAAUAUUUCUUCUCCAGCAACCUACAUCAUUUAUUGUAAUGAAAAAUAAAAUAAAAAUUACAGUGUUUGAUUAUUUUGGGGGAAAAUGUGAUGAUCGUUUUGGCUUAGUUGAUAGAAGAAGCACGGGUUUUGAUUUUGUGGUGUUAGUUAGGAGCUUUUGCAAUUUGUUAGAUGUUUCCUACAUUGUUACUUGUUACAUUGACAGAGCAUUUAGAUGCAUGUUCGAGUUAUGUUUGUUUUAAUCGUAUCAUGAGAUGCUAUCAAGCUAACAUUGUCUUCUUGCUUUCUAGAGAGUAAUUGGAUUCAUAAUUUCUGUUAUAAUCAAAAACUGAAAAGAAAAUGCUAAUCGAUUAUGGAUGUUUGACAGUUGGUUUUUGAUAUGAAUCUACGCUGUGCCUUAGAAUAACAAGAACUAAUUGUUAUUUCCAUUGAGUGAUGAUGUUCUUUAGGUUCUGCGGUCUGUUUUUUUUUCUAUUGCAUGACCUUGCAGUUUCUCGGAUUCAGUUAGAAGUAGGUGCUCUGUUUUGUGGAAUCUCGAUGUUGCAAUUGUUGCUUCUGAUGAAGAUAGUUGGCCUUCUUUCUCUCAGUGUAAGGAAUGCAUAUAUCAUUAACAUUGGUGUAUUGGCAUAUUAUUUUUCUCAAAGAAUGUAUUUGUUGGUGACUGUGGCUGUUCAUUUUUAAAUGUGGGAUAUGCAGAAUAUAAUGACUCUAUUUUCAGAUAUAGGCUGCAAAAAAUUAUUGUUCUUAAUACAAUUUCCCUCCUUCUGGAUGGUGGUAUUAGAUUGAAAAAGUUCUACAGAGUGUUUGACCUUGUUGUUUAUGUGUUAG